RNAcentral lists this unclassified non-coding RNA (350 nucleotides) under uncultured fungus. Its description in RNAcentral is "sequence contains ITS1". The stretch from base 1 to 105 matches the Rfam family "5.8S ribosomal RNA", at positions 50 to 154 of the family's 154-position model. The record is from RNAcentral. Lineage: Eukaryota; Fungi.
AAAACGCGAUAUGUAUUGUGAAUUGCAAAAUUCGUGAAUCAUCAAACUUUUGAACGCAAGUGGCGCUCUUGGUGAACAGCUGAGAGCAUGCCUCUUUCAGUGUCGAGUCUACAAUCUAGUGAUCUCUCACUAGGAGCAUGAGAGUCUCUGCGGAGUCUCUUUAAGUACUAUGUUUCGCUUUUGAGUGUCUUUGCAUACAAGUGCAUUGGAUGGAGACAGUUUAUGUCAAUGUCGAUGUACGACCUUUGUUGGACGCGUCAAUGUAACAGCGAGACCUCUCGUUCCGCGCUCGACGUGGUACAACACCUACUUAUAGACCUGAGAGAGGUAAGAUUACCCGCUGAACUUAA